AUGUGCAUGUCCAUGCGCCCGCGCCGGAUGAGCGCCGGGUCCAGCUUGUCCAGGUGGUUGGUGGUGAAAACGAUGAUGCGCUCGCCGCUGUGCGCCGACCACAGCCCGUCGAUGAAGUUGAGCAGGCCGGAGAGCGUCAGGAUGUUGUGCCUCUUGCCGCGCGACUUGUCGGCGCGGCUGCCGGUGAGGUCGAGGGAGCAGUCGAUGUCCUCGAUGACGAUGAUGGACUUGCCGGUGGUCUCGAUGAAGAGCUUGCGCAGGUCGCUGUUGCUCUCCAGGGUGGUGAGCUCGAUGUCGUAG
Molecule: ribosomal RNA, 300 nt
Filed under: Triticum aestivum (bread wheat)
Lineage: Eukaryota; Viridiplantae; Streptophyta; Magnoliopsida; Poales; Poaceae
Description: partial small subunit ribosomal RNA
Source: RNAcentral